Molecule: ribosomal RNA, 253 nt
Filed under: uncultured bacterium
Lineage: Bacteria
Description: partial 16S ribosomal RNA
Rfam family: Bacterial small subunit ribosomal RNA
Source: RNAcentral
UACGGGGGGGGCAAGCGUUGUUCGGAAUUACUGGGCGUAAAGGGCUCGUAGGCGGCCAACUAAGUCAGACGUGAAAUCCCUCGGCUUAACCGGGGAACUGCGUCUGAUACUGGAUGGCUUGAGUUUGGGAGAGGGAUGCGGAAUUCCAGGUGUAGCGGUGAAAUGCGUAGAUAUCUGGAGGAACACCGGUGGCGAAGGCGGCAUCCUGGACCAACACUGACGCUGAGAAGCGAAAGCAUGGGGAGCGAACAGG